Molecule: long non-coding RNA, 475 nt
Organism: Populus euphratica (Euphrates poplar)
Lineage: Eukaryota; Viridiplantae; Streptophyta; Magnoliopsida; Malpighiales; Salicaceae
Exons: 2
Source: RefSeq, a predicted model, not a curated record
CCCCUCAUCUAUGAGCCUUCACCCUUCGUUAUUUCAGUUCCUUUUUUUGUAUAUCAAGAAACCUAGUUAAUAUCGGGUGAAAAAGCUACCUCAUGGCACACCAAUGCGACGACCAGCCACACCCACCUUGAGCUUUGCCAUAAAUGUUAUAUGCUUUAAUCCAUUUGAUAAAGUUGUGGCCUGAUGUCUUGGAUCAACCUGUUCUAAACUGCAUAAUAGACAAGUUUGCAAUAUUUAAGUUACAAGCAAGCUAGUUAAAGUGUAGGUACAUAUAGGAUUUUUAGAACACUGUUUAAGGCUAGUGCAUGAUUGUGUUGUCACUUUGAUCUAGAGGUGAAUGAUGGUGCAUACAUGCACUAAUUAAUGACAUGGGGUUUGAUAUUUAAGAAUUGUAUAUGAAACUGCUAUAUAGAUGGCAGCGUUUUGGAUUUGUGUUCGUGAUAAGUCAAAUUGGUUUAAGGAAUAGUGUUUUCUA